AGGCAUUCAGGCAGCGAGAGCAGAGCGGCUGGUGAGGCAGGAGGCUCAGCCUGAGGAAUUCACAGAUAAGUUUCUACUUAAAAAGAUUGAACAAUAAAAAGAAUUAGGACUCUAAACUUAAGUUAACAGAGCAGCUUAUCGAAAUAAUACUUAGUCUUAAUAAUCUAAGAAGAUUUUAAAGAUAACAUGAAGGCUUAUUUAAACAGUUUGAAAAAGGAAAAGAGAAGAAAAAUAUUUGUACAGUGUGAUGGAGGCUGACCUGAAGCAUUUAUCCAGAGCAGGUUAGGAGGUCGUAAGGGGAGGUGUUAACGAAGUUUUAAGAGGUUCUAGUUUGAGGGUCAGCCUUGUAGAUUAAAACGAAGGUUACCUAAACAGAAUCUAAAUGGCAUUUAAAACAGUAAAGUCGUAGACAAUAGUUUGAAAAUGAGGUCAGGCUAGUAUUUGGAGAAAGAAGAUUAGAAAAUGGAAGUGAAAAACGA
RNAcentral lists this long non-coding RNA (479 nucleotides) under Mus pahari (shrew mouse). RNAcentral describes it as "metastasis associated lung adenocarcinoma transcript 1 (non-coding RNA) (MGP_PahariEiJ_G0004192.1)". The record is from RNAcentral. Lineage: Eukaryota; Metazoa; Chordata; Mammalia; Rodentia; Muridae.